Molecule: long non-coding RNA, 1494 nt
Filed under: Rattus norvegicus (Norway rat)
Lineage: Eukaryota; Metazoa; Chordata; Mammalia; Rodentia; Muridae
Description: long non-coding RNA NONRATT011934
Source: RNAcentral
AGUAAGAAGCAAACUAAAGCACAGCCAUUGACUGCAAACACGAGUCUGUCUGCUAGCACAAGUAGCAACGUGUUGGGAAGUAAGAGAAGCUGAAGAGGUAGUCGCUGUGUGUGUGAAUGGCUUUGAACCGUAUUCCCAUUCUAUCCCCCAAGUGAUCUGCAUGCCCAAGACACAGUAAAAGUUUGUGAGACAGUGGUGGUAAGAGAUGCAUUCGUGUUAAAGUCAAAGGCUGUUAGAAACACUGUGAACGUUUCCAUUCAUCCAUCGUGAUUUCUCCGCCAUCUUGCAUGUGUAACCGGAUUCCCACAGUGGUAUGGACUGUGCAUGGUGUGUGUAUUUCAUAGCAAUUUUCACUCAGAACUGACCGAUACAGGAGGUUUAACAUACACAGCAGUCUCUUCCCUGCCCCACGACCACUACUGACCAAGAAGUCUUUAGUGUGCUUGCUCCCCUCUGGUGAAGGCACACGCUAGUCAGCACACCAGUCGUUAGUUAAAAUGCUCGUCCACAGGUGUCCUCCCAGCGGACCCGUGUAAAGGGCGAGCUUAUCCUGGAGACCUCUCACUCCUGUGACUGUGUUGAAACUCUGCGAGGCUUCCUGGGCGUGGCUGUGCCCACACCUUACAGUUGUGACGGGGCCCAUCUUUUUAUAUCCACCCUCUGAUGCCCUCUUCCAAUUUCACCCUAGCUGUGGUUCUAGCUAGUCCUGAGAACAGAUGGAGGAGAGACAGCCUAGUAGUGAAUGACCUUGUUCUACAGUUUCUCUUCUAGGUAAGAUAAGGAAGCCAACGGCCAACCAACCUUUUCCUUUUUGUUUUUUAACUUUAAGAUAAAAGUAGCUGGGAAAUAUUGACGUGAAUGGAAGAAUCACAGAAUGGCAACAGAUCCCAUUGUCUUUAAAAGAUUAUGUAAUGUGGUUAGAAAUGGAAUCAUUCCUGUUAACUGAUUUUUUUUAUAUCUGUAAGAACACUGUAUAUUAUGUUCCUUUGUGUUGAAUUUUUUUUUUAAAGAAAUACUUUACUUGGAUAUUUCUGUAAUAUAUAAAGGUUUGGUGAGAUGAAUUUUAGUUAGGAAAAAAAGCUGACAUCAGCUUUCAUGUGUGUGAGUUGACACCAAUGUGUCAUAAUAUUCUUUAUUUUGGGAUAUUAGUGUAUUUUAUAGAAAUUUUAAAAAAGCAAAAAGACUACUACAAGUUAAGAUGAUUUUUUUUACCUGUCCUUUCUCCAUGUUUUCAGCUAUGUGAUUUGAAGUAUCCGUGGUAAUAGCUUCCUGGUAUAACGUGGGUUAAACUCUCAUCUGUUGGUAGAACAUUAGGUGGUAUAAUGUGUGGGUUUUGUAUUGGGCUUUUUGGAGACAGUAGAUGGAUGUUGUAACAAAGGAUUGUUACACCGUGGUGGGGAUGAGAAGUGGUCAAUUUCUCAUGCCUUUUAUGUUAAUUUUGAGGACUGGAUAAAAGUUUCAUUAUUAAAAAUUGAUGUUCAACCCUUCUAUGCC